GGUGGUAAAGAUCAAUCAUUGUUAGAUAAUAUGAUUUGUUUUAUUUUAAAACAAAUAUUUAUAAUUUUAAAAGUUAACAUCGACAAAUAGUUAAAUAUUUAACAUAUGGAGGUAUUGUAUUACAACAUUAAAUUAUAUCUAUUUAAUUUGUACUAUCUAUAAAUCCAAUGGAUCAUCUAUUCUUUAAAUCCAAUUAUUGAUAGCCCAAUAAAAAUUUCUGGUAGGCCCAAAAUUUAAAUGAUAAGAUUAAAGAUUAAAUGUAACAUAACUUUCUAUGAAUAAGUCCAUUAGGUCUAUUUUUAAAAUAUAUAGGAUCUUGGAUUCUUGAUCAAUGGUUAAUGAACAACCAAAAUCUAAAUUAUUCCACCAAAUUAGCAUAUCCAAUAUAUAAGUGAAUAAAACAUAAAAUGUCUCAAUAAUAAUUUAAAAAAAAACAUAUAAUAUAAGAGAUUUUGUUUAAUUAUUUUAGGAGAUAAUUAAAGGUUUCAUAUUUAAAUAAACACAAUUUUCAUAUCUUAUCAUUUUUUAUUAUUACUCAUAAAUUUCUUUUAUUUUAAGACUUUAAACUAAUUAUGUUUUGUGUAAAUGUUGCAAAUGCUAUAAGUUUAUAUUGGGUAUAUAAAACAAAUUUUCAUCCAUAUAAAAGUGAAUAAUAUAUUAUAUUACUUUUCUACAAAAUCUGUAUAUUUUUAAAAUAUAAUUUUGCUUACUUGAAUAUCCAAAAGACAUUAAAAAAAAAAACAAUUCUACUUAUGUAGAAACAUUUAAAACUGCAAUCAAUCGUAAAUUUUGAUUAUAAAAAAUGGAAACAUGGUCAAACUCUAGUUUUAUUUAAAUUGUGCCACUGUUUUGUUAUAUAUGUAGCAUGUAAUUUAGCUUUUAUAACCGAGUGUGUUUCGAUUUCUGUUUUAGUUGUUGUUUUUAGAUGAAGAAGAAGAAACCUUUUACAUGGACAUUUUUACAAAAAAAAAAAGAUAUCAAAAAAUUCUUGCAGGAAAAUGCGAGAAGAUCCUCUGGUGGUCAAUAAAAACAAAACUAUUUCUAGACUGAAAUUUUUUUCACUUAAACUAAAGCGUCUUUCAGACAAUAGAGAAAUACUCCCUUUGUUCUUUAUAGAUCUAUUUUUUAGAAAAAAAAUUUGUUUUAAAAAGAUACAUUUUUUACAUUUUCAAGACAUUAAUUAAUGAAAAUUUGUACUUUUCAGAAAAUACAAUUGUGUUUAAUAAAAUUUUAUUGGUUAAAAGUUAUUGAAAAUAGCUAAUUAAGGAAAACAAUGUAUUGGAAGAUACAAUUUUAAAUGUUUUCUUAAUAAGUGUGAAAAAACUAUAACAUGGAUCUUUUAGGAACGGAAGGAGUAGUAAACAGACAGACAAAUCAAAAGCCGAAAGAAGUCAACAUCUUAGUGUUUAAUGAAACCUGCGGAGACUUGAAGCAAGCAAGCAAUUAAAUUCUACUAUAAUUCAUGCGUCAGAACCUGGGAAAAACAAACGUAAACUCGAUUUCUGUGUCACGUAAAGUGCAGAAGAACUCUUACUUCGACGCUGAUGUGUGUCCUUUUAAACCAACAAUCUCCUCUAGCUGUCUCCAGAAACACUAUUCUGCUGUUCUGUGUCACCAAAUUACUGACAUGUUCCUUGAGCAUAAAGCGCGUUCCGCUACCUACACACAAAAGCAGUAAGUUAAUGAAACAAUUCAAGACUAACCACCUCUAACUAAUUUUCACUUGAAAAGUAAGAACUGCUCAGUUGCAAUUUAUUAUAUUUACAGUAAUGCCUACAUGUUACUCGAACUAUAUACUCAUAUAUAAGUGUUCAGGUUUGUAUGAUUCACAGAUUCUUGCACUAAUGUGCUUGACCAGUUAUUUCAACUGUAUCUAAUUAUUCUCUCAUCUUGCUUGUGAUCAUGGUUAGAGCCUAAAAUCUCAAAUAGUUUAUGACUAUUCUUUCAUUAAUUGGUGUCCGGUUUUUUGACAGAAACUAUAGGUAGGAUUGACAUUUAACCAGUUUUUAUAAAUUAGUAAUAAAUUUAAGAAAAAAGGUAUAUUCAAUACCUUCUUUUGGUUUGGCUGCUUGGCAGGCGGGGGCCGUUUCUCUCUGUUCUCUGCUAGUGGCGGUGCACCGUGCUUCUUGUGGGACAUCAAGAUUGGUUUCUGUUGGAACUCGUUUUUGACAAAGUGGUGUGGACCAUUUUUUUUAUGGGUUUUUCGACGGAGACGUCUGUUGGAAAGACCGGAAUUUGGAUACGAUGUAAUCGUCACCGUGAAUACUAUGAGUUAGUGUAUUUGUUGGUCAAAAUCGGAGUUGUUUUGAAUGAAAAAUGAAGGUCUAAAGUGAAUGACAUGAAAAGCUUAUAAAGCUAUUAUAUGGUUAAAUAUAAAUUUUAACAAA
Molecule: long non-coding RNA, 2387 nt
Organism: Brassica napus (rape)
Lineage: Eukaryota; Viridiplantae; Streptophyta; Magnoliopsida; Brassicales; Brassicaceae
Exons: 2
Source: RefSeq, a predicted model, not a curated record